Molecule: ribosomal RNA, 433 nt
Filed under: uncultured bacterium
Lineage: Bacteria
Description: partial 16S ribosomal RNA
Rfam family: Bacterial small subunit ribosomal RNA
Source: RNAcentral
AGCGAACGCUGGCGGCAGGCUUAACACAUGCAAGUCGAGCGGGCACUUCGGUGUCAGCGGCAGACGGGUGAGUAACACGUGGGAACGUACCCUUUGGUUCGGAAUAACGCUGGGAAACUAGCGCUAAUACCGGAUACGCCCUUUUGGGGAAAGGCUUGCUGCCGAAGGAUCGGCCCGCGUCUGAUUAGCUAGUUGGUGGGGUAAUGGCCUACCAAGGCGUCGAUCAGUAGCUGGUCUGAGAGGAUGAUCAGCCACACUGGGACUGAGACACGGCCCAGACUCCUACGGGAGGCAGCAGUGGGGAAUAUUGGACAAUGGGCGCAAGCCUGAUCCAGCCAUGCCGCGUGAGUGAUGAAGGCCUUAGGGUUGUAAAGCUCUUUUGUCCGGGACGAUAAUGACGGUACCGGAAGAAUAAGCCCCGGCUAACUUCGUG